This is a long non-coding RNA of Temnothorax curvispinosus, 904 nucleotides long. RefSeq lists it as uncharacterized. The record is from RefSeq and is a predicted model, not a curated record. NCBI's taxonomy places the organism in Eukaryota, Metazoa, Arthropoda, Insecta, Hymenoptera, Formicidae. The transcript is spliced from 3 exons.
UGAUUAUUUUAAUAGUUUGGGAAUCGUUUGGGCAAGUUUAGGAAUAUAGUUUCAUAGUUUAGGAAAUAAUAGUUUAUUUAUAAUUAAUAAAAAUUAAUUGAAUGUAUAGUUAGCAGACAUAAUUUUAAAAACAAUUUUUUUCUUUUCAAAUCAACGUGAAAUCAUUUGGGAAACACGUCUGUAAUGUUUUAAACAUUUGGGAAAUAAUGAUUUUAUCUGAAAAUCAAGUUACAUGUCACAUGUGCGAUAGCUGGACAGUUUUACCAUGGUUUGUGAGUCAUCCAAUCACAGCUGAGAAUGUGGAAAGUGCUGCUAAAGCAUAAAAGAAACGUUCACUUUCCUAAAAUGGAUUCAUUAUUAGCGCUAAUUGUUGCAUUUUCUUGGUUAUUAUGCUACAUGUAAUGCUGAAAGCAGCAUAUAUGCUCAGCAAAGUCCAACCCCACGUCCGUGCAAAAUAACGUGAGCCACGUGCUGAGCGGGCAACAUCUUAGGUGGCUAACGGGGCAAUGGCAAAUCCUCCUGGAGUAAAAAUGAAAAAUAUCUAAGGGCGAAAUUGGAUAUCGGCUUACUAGCUAUGAUUUUAAGUUCUGUCGAGACUGGAAAUGACACAGAGGCAAUCCGCCCAUUUAUAGAGAAUAUCCAUCAAACUCUGUCCGAAUUUGUUAGUAUUUGUCCCUUUGAAGCAGCUCGGGAUGACGUCUAUUAAGCUGACACAGCCAAUUCAACACAAUCGAUUAAAAUUUAUACAGAAAUUUAGUGCUCUUUUGUUGCUAAUUUGUUGCUCAAUUCCCAAUUUUGUUGCUCCAGCCGUUUCGGAGAAAAUAGUAGCUGUGCUAACUUAUGUUUAAAGUUAGCACAGCCAUUCAAAAAAUUGUGUUAAAUAAAAAAAAAGGACAUAUUCUUU